This 2120-nucleotide long non-coding RNA is filed under the name Onthophagus taurus. Its description in RNAcentral is "uncharacterized LOC111426611". The record is from RNAcentral. Lineage: Eukaryota; Metazoa; Arthropoda; Insecta; Coleoptera; Scarabaeidae.
AGAGCGAGGAAGCGGGCGCGAUGCAGUCAUAUUUAGGAUGUUAAAGGCCGAAUCUUGCUUGUUUAAGAGCCGAGUUUCUGGAAUUGAUUGUGUAACGUAAAAGGGUUAUCUCUCUGAUAGAUGCACAAGUCAGAAUCUAAAAUUAAAUUAAAACUUUUACUUCACUAAAUGUGACCAUCAGAUUUACUUUGAAAGUGAGAAAACAAGAUCACCAGGAUGUUUUAGAGCGGAGUUAGUGUCACCGGUAAUUGGAAAAGGUGUAACUUAUCUUAGUAAAAAUGCAGAAUACCGAAAGACUUCACGUUAUACGAUUUCAAGUCCGAUUUGCAUCAUACGUCUAAGAACCAAGAAAUUCUACAAUAGAAAAAAUAGAUGAACCUACAAUUUCGGGCCAGUGUCGUUUUCUAGAUAGUUUAAAAGGAGUUAAAAAUGAAAUGGAUGUGUUACAAAAGGAUCGAUAAAAUGAACACAUUGGAAUACAAAAGGAAAUGAAGAGUGCCGAAACUGUGAAGCGGAAAGUUUUAAUUCGCGCGAAAUUCAAAUUAGCGAACUAGCCGUGUACUGCAGACGCAUAAACUUUGCCGUUUUAAUAAUGCGAGAGUUUUGAUUAAACGAACGCGGACGAAGCGACGAACGGUUUUCGAGGCGAAAAUGAAAUUUCCUGAUAGUAUAUAGAGGGAAGAAAAAGAUGCUGAAUCGUCGAAAUCGCACGGAAAGGUGUCGACCAAAUAAUUAGAUGGUUCGAGAAAGGAUUUUGCUGUCACAAGGUUUUAAAUCCUCCUUUUUGGUCGACAAAGACUCCAACGAAGUCGAAGUCAUCGAUGAAGACAACGAUCAGAACGAGAUGAUUUCAACAAACACUUUGAUUUUCCCCCACAACGCACUAAAAUCGGAAUGACAUUUUCGGAAUGUUUGGAUUUGUGAAAAAUUCGGAAAUGAUUUUUCGUCAUACUUUAACCAAGCUGUAUGGAGAGAUACCAUUGGGAGAUCCUACAACAUAGCGACCUUUAUCCACAAAGCGAAGGAUCAAAUAACUUUGUUUCAGUCCGCCACCAAAAGAUGCAACUUAAAAUUUAUAAUUGGACGGAUUGUAUUCGUCUCACUUCCGGCUGUUCCUACCUACCACUAUCGAUUUCACGUGCACUGUGAUAACAUCUGCAUCAUUUGUGGCGCCACCCCUGAUAAUUAAGUGCAGGUUUAAAUCAUAGGUUUGCUGUGUACCGCAGCGGCAUUAUUCAAAGGAUGCGUAAUUGGUGUAGCUCGGCCAUAUGACGUUUCAGUAGAGCGAGAACGAAAAUAGUACAGUGAUUUGACAAUAAUAAAGUGCAACGAACCGAAGUACUGAGCUGGCACAAAAAAAAACGGGCGGAGGCCAGAAAAUUUCCAAUAGAGACCAACUGUCAACAAACACCUACUGUAUCGAUGAACGGGCGGGAAAAGGGGAGCGAAUCCGAAACGCGGAAAACAGAACCCAACAAAAAAAAUCUAAUAUCCGGACGCUGCCGAGGGCGAACUUUGCAUUAUUUUCGCGCGAUAAUAAAUUUCACCCAGGACGGAAUUUUGCGUGCGUAUGCACCAGCGGUCGUCAGUGCUCAUAUCAUAUUCAAGUUGGGGGCUCGACCGGUCGGAAUUCGUGUCUGAAAUUUACGGUUGCGGUCGUGUUAUAUUUAUCCUAGACAGUACCACUACUGGGAGGUAGUGUAGUAGGUAUUCUACUCUACUGAUGCUUGUUCCAAAACAUCUUUUGAUAUAUUAUGCAUUUUCUAUAAGCACCAUUUCCUUCUUCGUCUUCUUCAAAGCAAAAAUAUAUAUCACAUUGUUACAUACUCCAAUUAGUGAACCCAUCCAACUAUUAUAGAAAUCGAUAAAAGGCUUUACAAGGCACUCAUUAUGACUUAGCCUUAAGGUUACAACCUCAUCAUAAAGACUAAUCUAAUACAGUAAAACGUCGAUAUAAUGGACCUCGAAUAUAACGGACAAAAUAUUUUUAAGACAUAUUUAAAUACAAAUGUUCAUAGCGAUCAUAGAUAAAAUCCAACUUGGGUUAUUCCCCAAGUUGCUUUAUUCUAUGUUCAUAGAUAAACUUGGGGUAUCUCCUGAGUUAUUAUUUUUCAUUGAAC